This 484-nucleotide ribosomal RNA is filed under the name uncultured bacterium. RNAcentral's name for it is "partial 16S ribosomal RNA". It matches the Rfam family "Bacterial small subunit ribosomal RNA", at positions 28 to 523 of the family's 1533-position model. The record is from RNAcentral.
GACGAACGCUGGCGGCGUGCUUAACACAUGCAAGUCGAACGAUGAAGCCGGAGCUUGCUCUGGUGAAUUAGUGGCGAACGGGUGAGUAACACGUGAGUAACCUGCCCUUGACUCUGGGAUAACUGCGGGAAACUGUAGCUAAUACCGGAUACGACCCUCGGAGGCAUCUCCUGGGGGUGGAAAGAAUUUCGGUCAAGGAUGGACUCGCGGCCUAUCAGCUAGUUGGUGAGGUAAAGGCUCACCAAGGCGACGACGGGUAGCCGGCCUGAGAGGGGGACCGGCAACACUGGGACUGGGACGCGGCCCAGACUCCUACGGGAGGAAGCAGUGGGGAAUAUUGCACAAUGGGCGCAAGCGUGAUGCAGCAACGCCGCGUGAGGGAUGACGGCCUUCGGGUUGUAAACCUCUUUUAGCAGGGAAGAAGCGAAAGUGGCGGUACCUGCAGAAAAAGCACCGGCUAACUACGUGCCAGCCGCCGCGGUAA